This 374-nucleotide ribosomal RNA is filed under the name Aureoumbra lagunensis. Its description in RNAcentral is "partial Bacterial large subunit ribosomal RNA". It matches the Rfam family "Bacterial large subunit ribosomal RNA", at positions 1220 to 1593 of the family's 2925-position model. The record is from RNAcentral. Lineage: Eukaryota; Pelagophyceae; Sarcinochrysidales; Sarcinochrysidaceae.
GUGAUGCGGUAGAGGAGCGUUCUGUAAGCCUGUGAAGGUGAGUUGAGAAGCUUGCUGGAGGUAUCAGAAGUGCGAAUGCUGACAUGAGUAACGAUAAUGGGUGUGAAAAACACCCACGCCGAAAGACCAAGGUUUCCUGCGCAACGUUAAUCGACGCAGGGUUAGUCGGUCCCUAAGGCGAGGCUGAAAAGCGUAGUCGAUGGAAAACAGGUUAAUAUUCCUGUACUUCUGGUUAUUGCGAUGGAGGGACGGAGAAGGCUAGGCCAGCUUGGCGUUGGUUGUCCAAGUUUAAGGUGGUAGGCUGGAAUCUUAGGUAAAUCCGGGAUUCUAAGGCCGAGAGCUGAUGACGAGUUAUCUUUUAGAUGACGAAGUGG